AGCGAACGCUGGCGGCAGGCCUAACACAUGCAAGUCGAACGAACUCUUCGGAGUUAGUGGCGGACGGGUGAGUAACACGUGGGAACGUGCCUUUAGGUUCGGAAUAACUCAGGGAAACUUGUGCUAAUACCGAAUGUGCCCUUCGGGGAAGGAUUAUCGCCUUUAGAGCGGCCCGCGUCUGAUUAGCUAGUUGGUGAGGUAAAGGCUCACCAAGGCGACGAUCAGUAGCUGGUCUGAGAGGAUGAUCAGCCACAUUGGGACGUGAGACACGGCCCAAACU
Molecule: ribosomal RNA, 280 nt
Filed under: uncultured bacterium
Lineage: Bacteria
Description: partial 16S ribosomal RNA
Rfam family: Bacterial small subunit ribosomal RNA
Source: RNAcentral